This is a non-coding RNA of Paramuricea clavata, 550 nucleotides long. Lineage: Eukaryota; Metazoa; Cnidaria; Anthozoa; Malacalcyonacea; Plexauridae. The record is from the annotation of a GenBank genome assembly.
UUUAAUUUAAUUUAAUUUACAACUUUGUACUAAACAAAAUAUAUGGUUAAAUAUAUUCGUUCCUUUCGCUUCUUGUUCGGUUCGCUACAUAAGCACAGCCUGUCCACAUGCAAGUCACACGAUUUGAUAAUCACAAACUCUGAAUAAAACACAUAAACUAAUGCGAUUCUGCACGCCAUAUAAUUUUCCGAUUUCCAAACAUAUAUUAUAAUUAGUGAAGAUUUAAUUAAUAGACUACUUACAUUUCUUUUCCUCAAAAACCACAACUGCGUUGUCGCCAUUCCAUCUGCUAGCGUCUAAAUCUACAUCGCCGCCUCUUGACUUGCUGGAUUGGAAAUAUAUUAUCAAUCUUUCUAGGGUAAUCUCAGCCGGUAUAUUGUUCACGUAAAGUGACCAGGGCAUCUUUAUUUCGCUCAAAUAAGCAUACUUAAAGUACGCUGCUACCGACCACAGUGCAUAUUCUCACAGUAACUGCAUCGAAAUAAAACUAAACGAAACUGGAUCUACCCAUUUGCAGGCGGAAUGCGAACUCAUUUUCCAGGAAGUCACG